Molecule: long non-coding RNA, 1631 nt
Filed under: Brassica napus (rape)
Lineage: Eukaryota; Viridiplantae; Streptophyta; Magnoliopsida; Brassicales; Brassicaceae
Description: long non-coding RNA (BNAP_LNC013478)
Source: RNAcentral
GCAAAUAUAUUAACAUAUAGAAACCAUUUCAUGUACCUUUUUUUUUUUUUUGUAACUUCGAUUUUCAUGUACUUUUAUAGUCUAUAUAAUACAUAUACACACACCAUCAACGAGACAUAAAACUCAUACCACCACAAUCCACACAAAUGGCAAACCUCAUCCUCAUCAUCACCUCCCAUAUCCUCCUUCUCGCAGCUAUUGUCUCCGCCGGAAAGGGUGAAAACUUUGCAAAAAACAUUAACCGGAAACACUUCGGGCUCCGUAAAGAGAAACUCACUUUCUUCCGUGUCUACUGGCACGACAUUCAAAGCGGCAGAGACCCUAGCUCGGUCGUGCUCAGACCUCCUCUCUCCAACUCCUCUUUCUUCGGAGCAGUCACUAUGAUCGAUAACCGUUUAACUACGGAGGUCUCGGUUAACUCGACUUUGGUAGGCCAGGCUCAAGGGAUGUACGCUGGUGCGGGCCAACACGAUGCGUCUGCGCUUAUGGUGAUGAACUUCGCGUUCAAGACAGGUAAGUAUAACGGGAGUACGAUCUCGAUUCUUGGUCGAAACGCGGUGAUGACUAAGGUUAGGGAGAUGCCGGUGAUUGGAGGAAGUGGACUGUUCCGGUUCGCUAGAGGUUAUGUCGAGGCUAGAACUAAGUGGUUGAAUGUAAAGACAGGAGAUGCUACUGUUGAGUACAGCUGUUACGUCUUGCAUUAUUGACUUUGUGAUGAUUAAAUAUGGUAACAAAUAUUCAGUUAAUUAUGGCAAAUUGCUCAGAACAAAAUUACGUUGAGAUAAAUUAACAUAAAAUGAGUAGAAUGGAAAAAACUAAACGGAUCAUUUUCCAUUAGUUCAUGAAGUAAAUCAAGUGUUUAACCCAGAAGAAUCUAUAACUCAAAUGAAAUUUAAAUAAUCUAAUAAGUACCUUUGCUUAUUGAAAUACUAACAAUCAAAACUAAUUUAGUUCAAGAUUAUUUAUUUUUUCAAACUUAAAGGGCACAGAAAAAUUAAACUUAACAUCCUUAUAAUCUUUUUUUUCUUCCUUUUUGUAUGAUUAGUUCGAUAGAGAUAAAGUAAGAAUAAGACUUUUUAUUCUCUUUAACUUUUAUCCGGCCGGCGAAUACGACUUAUGGCGCAAAAAAAUAUUCAAAUAUUGACCCAUGUUUUCUUGUGGCAAAUAUAUCAACAUAUAGAAACUAUUUCAUGUACUUCUGUAGUCUAUAUAAUACAUAUACACACCAUCAACGAGACAUAAAACUCAUACCACCACAAUCCACACAAAUGGCAAACCUCAUCCUCAUCAUCACCUCCCAUAUCCUCCUUCUCGCAGCUAUUGUCUCCGCCGGAAAGGGUGAAAACUUUGCAAAAAACAUUAACCGGAAACACUUCGGGCUCCGUAAAGAGAAACUCACUUUCUUCCGUGUCUACUGGCACGACAUUCAAAGCGGCAGAGACCCUAGCUCGGUCGUGCUCAGACCUCCUCUCUCCAACUCCUCUUUCUUCGGAGCAGUCACUAUGAUCGAUAACCGUUUAACUACGGAGGUCUCGGUUAACUCGACUUUGGUAGGCCAGGCUCAAGGGAUGUACGCUGGUGCGGGCCAACACGAUGCGUCUGCGCUUAUGGUGAUGAACUUCGCGUUCAAG